Molecule: unclassified non-coding RNA, 258 nt
Filed under: plant metagenome
Description: partial contains small subunit ribosomal RNA and internal transcribed spacer 1
Rfam family: Eukaryotic small subunit ribosomal RNA (bases 1-46)
Source: RNAcentral
AAGUCGUAACAAGGUUUCCGUAGGUGAACCUGCGGAAGGAUCAUUACAUUUAGUAGCCUAGCUGCUAUCAGUGGGGUUCGUUAGCCUGCAUAGCUUUAAUCGUCGUGCAUGAUGACGCAAGCCAAGGAACCCCCCCUUGUUUUUGGUUAACCCUUGUUUUUUGCGUACCAAGUUUCCUCGGCGGGCUUGCUCGCCGGAUGGACAAUACUAUAACCUUUUUAAUAUUCAAUCAGCGUCUGAAAACCUGAAUAAUUACAA